RNAcentral lists this transfer RNA (74 nucleotides) under Candidatus Hydrogenedentota bacterium. RNAcentral describes it as "tRNA-His". It matches the Rfam family "tRNA". Rfam says of the family: Transfer RNA (tRNA) molecules are approximately 80 nucleotides in length. Their secondary structure includes four short double-helical elements and three loops (D, anti-codon, and T loops). Further hydrogen bonds mediate the characteristic L-shaped molecular structure. tRNAs have two regions of fundamental functional importance: the anti-codon, which is responsible for specific mRNA codon recognition, and the 3' end, to which the tRNAs corresponding amino acid is attached (by aminoacyl-tRNA synthetases). tRNAs cope with the degeneracy of the genetic code in two manners: having more than one tRNA (with a specific anti-codon) for a particular amino acid; and 'wobble' base-pairing, i.e. permitting non-standard base-pairing at the 3rd anti-codon position. Lineage: Bacteria; Pseudomonadati; Candidatus Hydrogenedentota. The record is from RNAcentral.
GCCGGGGUAGCUCAGUUGGUCAGAGCGCUGGAUUGUGGAUCCAGAGGUCCUGGGUUCAACCCCCAGCCCCGGUA